RNAcentral lists this ribosomal RNA (807 nucleotides) under Triticum aestivum (bread wheat). Its description in RNAcentral is "partial small subunit ribosomal RNA". The record is from RNAcentral. Lineage: Eukaryota; Viridiplantae; Streptophyta; Magnoliopsida; Poales; Poaceae.
AUGGACGAGGUGCACCGCGCACGCGACGUGGCGGUUGUCGCCCCCAUGCCGCUCGGGGACGAGCUCGAGGGGCUCCGGGCCGAGCUGGCCGCGGCCAAGAGCCGCCUCGCCGCGACGGCCGCCGAGAUACCGCCCCUCAAGUCGCUCAUCGAGUCCACCAACGGCAGCAUCGCCUCGAGGCAGCAGGAGGAGGGCAAGAAGCAGGCGGCCGUGGACGAGCUCCGGCUGCGCGCCGACCAAGGCCGGGACGAGCUCCGGCGGCUCCUGCUGGAGUUGGCCGCGGCCCGCGACGCCAAGGACGCGCUGGAGCGGCGGGUGUCCGUCCGGCGCCAGGCGGCGCGCGCGCUGCAGCUGGCCGAGCGAGCCGUGGCGGCGGAGAUCCACGCGCUGGCGUGGUCCGCGGCCGCGGCGGCCGAGCAGCUGAACGCGCGCUCCGGCGGGGCCGCCGACGACGACGAUGACGCCCACCACGACGUCGUGGCGGUGCCCGCGCGGAGCUACGAGGAGCUGCGGCACAGAGUGGAGGACGAGGAGCGGAAGGCGGACGCGCGCGUGGAGGAGGCCGAGGCGCUGCGGCGCGCAGCGAAGGCGAGGCGGGCCGCGGCCGUGGGGAGGCUGGAGGCGGCGCGCGCCAGGAGGCGCGAGGCCGCCGACAGCCGCCGCCGCGACGUGGAUCACCGGCGCGGCAAGAUGGAGACCGGGAAGGGGCCGGUCAAGAGCAGGAGCUGGCAGGCGUGCCUGGUGGUCAAGAAGAAGCUGGGGGGCUUCUUCUGCAAGGAACGCAAAGCUUCACGCGGUCGUUCUUGA